Molecule: long non-coding RNA, 954 nt
Organism: Canis lupus familiaris (dog)
Lineage: Eukaryota; Metazoa; Chordata; Mammalia; Carnivora; Canidae
Exons: 3
Source: RefSeq, a predicted model, not a curated record
UGAAGCAAAAACAGCCCAACUUCCAAUACUGAUUAUUUUGGACCAGGACCUUACAGAGAAGAGGACACUUCUUUGGAAAAAAUAAAGGAGUGAGGCAAGCAAGGAAAGUGGUUUUCUGACGAGACUGAAAAUAAAGCAGGAUUUAGAGAUCCACCAGCCUCUGGGAGCCCCAGGAAGAGCAAGUAAGAUAAACGGUGGAUAAACCCAUCCCCUGUUCUACCUUGAACUCGAGAGAAGAGACAACUGGUUGACGAUUUGCAUCAUCAGAAGAAGACAGGCAUGCGAAGACAGACGCAUACGGAAAACAUCACAUGAAGACGGAAGAUUGGAGUGGUGCUUUUACAAACCAAAGAAUGCCAAAUUUUGCUGAUAAACCACUAGAAGCAAGGAAGAAGCAAGGAAGGACUCCCAUAUAGGUUUUAGAGAAAGUGGGGCCCUGCCAACACCUUGAUUUCAGACUUCUAGUUUCUGGAACUUUGAGAAAAUAAAUUUCUAUUGUAAAACACCUAGUUUGUGGUACUUUGAUAUGAUAGCUUUAGGAAACUAAUACCAUGGGCUUUAUUUUAUAAAUAUAUAUAUAUAUUUAAGUAGCCUCCAUGCCCAAUGUAGGACUUGAACUCAUGACACUGAGAAAUCAAGAGUUGCUUGCUCUCCUGAGCCAGCUGGGCACCCCUAUACUCUUGUAUUAUUAGAUAUUUUACCUUGGAUAUGAUUGAACUCUUCAACCAAAGGAAAAAUGUUCACUUAGCCUUGUUAGUCAUCAGGAAAAUGCAAAUUAAAAUUACAAUGUAAGACCAUUACACACGCACCAGAAUAUCUAAAAUUUAAAAGACCACUCAAAGUUGGUGAGGCUGUAGAGCAACUGGAACUAUAUAUUGUUAGUAGAACAUAGUUGUUAUAACCACUUGGAAAACUGUUUAUUUAUUUAUUUAUUUUAAAGAUUUUAUUUAUUUA